UCCCCGCACAGAGCUCUGACAGCCGGGUCUGUCACCGCAGCGUCCUCCCAUCUGAGCGGGGCCGAAAGGCGGACCGGGGCUGCAGGCGGAGCGGAGCGGAGCGCUCACUGACCUCAGGCCCGACGACGCACAACUACUCCUGGUCGUUUCUUGUCUCAGAGGCGCGAACUUUGGGCUACGGUAGUCCGGCCCAAGUCUUUUAACCUCUUGGGACGUUUUAAAGGAACUGAACGGGACAAAAACAACAACUCUGAAGACUUAAAAAUUCUUCCUUUGCGAUUUUUUUUCUGCGUCUACAGGAACAAGAAUGCCUCUAUAGCAUCUUUUUUUAUUAUUUUUAAUGGAAAGCUCUAAAUAUUCACACUUUAUUUCCAUGUAUCUAAAGGUUGGGGGAAUCUUAUAGCCCAAAUAUUAGUGGAUAAUCAGUGAAUGCAUGACUUCGGAUCGUCUCGCGCCGGAAUCUCUAAUUGGACUCAUCAUCCCGUCCCUCUCGCGAUGCAGCAGGAGCGCCUGGUGAAGGUGCUGGUCAUCGGCGACCUGGGUGUGGGCAAGACGUCCAUCAUAAAGCGGUACGUCCACCAGGUGUACUCCCAGCACUACAGGGCCACCAUCGGGGUGGACUUUGCCCUCAAAGUGCUCAACUGGGAUCACAAGACGGUGGUGCGGCUGCAGCUGUGGGACAUCGCUGGACAAGAACGCUAUGGGAACAUGACCCGUGUGUACUACAGAGAAGCAUUGGGGGCCCUUGUUGUCUUCGACAUGACCAGGUUGGCCACGUUUCAGGCUGUCCUGAAGUGGAAACGAGACCUGGACUCAAAAGUCACUCUGAGCAAUGGGAAGCCCGUUCCAGCCGUUCUGCUAGCCAAUAAGUGUGACCAACGUCAACUCGGUCUGUGUCCCAAACUUCCAAAGCUGGAGAAGUUCUCCCAAGACCACGGCUUUGUUGGCUGGUUCGAAACAUCUGCUAAGGAUGACACCAACAUCGACAGUGCCAUCACGUGUUUGGUUAAAGCGAUCACGUCUGCGGAGGAGGAGAAAGCGUCGCGUGACGCCGCUCCAAGCGAGUCCGACGGCGGAGUCAUCGUUCUGCCUCGUUUCGACCACAGCGCCAAGGAGAAGGGACUCAACGGCUGCGCCGGGUGCACCUCCACCAAACCCAGACCCGGAGCCAGCGACUGAUGCAGAUCCACUAAUAUCAUGGAGCGAUGACUUCAAGUCUUCCACUUUCUAACAUUUAGAAGUUUCCCUAACUCUCUGACGGUUUUUUGGAAAACUCUAUUGGAGAUGUUUUCUGACAUUUUUGCUUUUCCUCCAAGUCUCUCUCUCUCUCUUUUUUUUUUUAACAAACUGGGUAUUGUAUGUUUUUUUUAAGACCAAUUUAAGACUGACUUCAGUAACUUCAAAAGCAUUUUCAUGUGGCUGCUGUGUUGGGAAAGAGUUUUGAGACAAAAUGAGGCACGAGGGCAGCAUUCUUCUCAGAAAGAUGAUUGUUAAAAGCACAUCAGCAGUUGUGAGACUUUUCUCUCUCCUGUCUUAAAGUCUUUUCUUACAAAGCAUUUUUUAAUUGUCCUAAAUGUUUGUCUCUGGAAGCUAAUUUCUCUGUGUAUUUUGGAGUGAUUUAUUUAUAUUUUACAUCAGUUAAUUAUUAGACAAAACUCUGUCAUGUUUUACUCUGUUCUGUCUGCGUAAAAGCACAAACUUUCUGUUUUAAUGAUGCCUGUUGUUUUUGUCCUGGAACAGAAAAUCUUUUCCUUUCUUUUCUUUAAUGAUGCAUAAAUUAACUACCACCCAGAGCACACGUCUUCGGAAGCAAUGAGACCUAAACACAUGGCGAUGCUAGGAGGAAACCUUCCACAAUGGCUCUUAAUUUGGCCGAAUCAGCAACUUUUUAAAAAUACAGACAUAGCAAAUGCAGAUUUGAGCAGUUUUGGAAUAAACAUUGCAUUAAACUUCCACAAAAGAAUAAUACAAGUAUCAUAAAAAAAAGUAUCAAUCCUCUUUUUGUAAAUUCCUUUAAAAAUGACCACAAAUUCCCCACAGUAGAUAUUCAAGUUGCCUUUUCACAAAAGCUUACAUAACAUUUGCAACUCUAAAUAAGUUUUAUUUUGUUGGACUGAGGGCAAAAACAGCUAUUUGGCUUCUAAAGGUUGCAGACUCUUGGCUCAAGGCGUAUCUGUGUGAUAAAAUGACCAAUUCCUAAAUCUAACAUUAGAAUCCGUUCCAAUCCUCGAAUGUUGCUCUUUAAAUAUCCUCUGUAUCCGGUCUGACUGAGGUAAUUUGCAAAGAAGAAUCUAAAUAAUUUCAGUUUCUAAAUGUAGAAAGCUGGUAAAGAAAAAAACACUGAAAGCUCUCUGGCUGUAAUAGCUCUAUUUCCUGAUAGUCCUCCAGAUUCUUUUAGAAUUUGACAAACUAGGAUUUGCCGGAUCAGUCUUAGGUUCUCCAUUUUCUGUCGUUAUCAGUCACCGUCUCUCCGGGUGACGGUCUGCAAACGGGACACGUCGCUCUUUGUUCAGGUGUGGAUGUUUGGCCUUCUCUGUGAAGACGACUUGUAUCCUGGACGCUAAUGAAAGGCCCCCCUUUCCGGCUCUUUUUCGCCACUUUUCACGAGGUUAAAUGUCAUCGUCUGGGAAAUCUCUCCUUUAAAUGACAUUUUCCAUCUCAGAUGUUUCUCCGUAUUUUCCGUGAGCUCCAGCUUUUCGUUUCCCACAUCCUGCUGCAUGUGUCAGCAGCUGGGAGCUUCGGAGUCAGUCCUCUAAUGGACCCAGUACAGCAUGAGGAUGGCUGCAUCUGGAAGGUUUAUCACCUGUUUGCUGCUGAUGCUACACUCCACUAGAGGUUAGUGUUCGGUUUGUCACUAUAGAACAACCUGACUCUGAGUCCCUCAGCUUCGUUUCAAACAUCUUUUUGUGUUGCCUGACGGUAAGUUCACCGGGUUAACGAACCGUAAAAGUAAUAAACGGCUGAGAAAAAUUGGGCUUCUAUACUCCACAUGAUGCUUGUCAGGGCUUUUUGUACCAUCUAAAUGCCACUAGAGGGAGGUAUUUGCGUUUUCUUUCUCUUCUGGUUCAAACGCCAAGUCUCUCUUUCACCUUGUUUCUGUGUCUGUCCUAGCACAGGCAGCUUCUAUUAUCAUCUCACACCUUCACACCUUCCUUCACACAGAUUUCUGAUUCUUCCAUGGCUUUUUCCCCCCUCAUAAGUCGGGUUGUUUUCUUUCCUCUUUCUCUUUCCCUCUGUCUCUUUCUUCCUGUAGCCCAGAAUCCCUCUGAGGACUCCUCUACCUCCUCCGACAUCUUGCUCAGCCCUCAGAGCCUCGUCAGCCUCUUGCUCCUGGCCCUGACUGUCACCUUGUCUGGCACCGUCUACCUGUGGAUCCUCAGAUACGUGUGCAUCGGCUGCUGCCAGCCCGUCAUAGUCGGCCCGGAGUCUGAGGCUCUGGCAGUGAUGGUGUGAAGACGUCAAGUCGUAAUUAGAUCCUGGGAGUUAUUAACAUGCUUUUUUUCUAAUUGUACAUUUUAAUUUGCUUUGUUCGUGAGAACAGAGGAACGGUGAAGGUGGUAGGGGGAUGUGGCUCACCACCCAGGGGGUGGCUGUAGUUGGAGAAACUGAGUUUUUUUUGUGAAAAGUGUACUUACUAAAUCACACAAAAGUGCAAAUUGAGAUUUAUGAAGUUGACGUUGGGGCCUUUGACAGAGAGGCUUGCCUGGGGCUACAUUAAUUCAAGUGAUGCCAAGGUAAUCAGAAUGACACUAAAUAUGCCUGUGAUUAACAGCAUAGCUAUAUUCACUGUGUGCUAAGCCAAGUAUUUGUUACAGAGAUGGAGAUCCAGAAAAUAAAAUGUGACAGUCUUCAUUCAGUACUUCAAGUUGGCCUCCUGACCUCUAGUCAAAGAAACCCUUUGAAUUUUAUACCUAUUUUUUUAUGUUUAACUUCCAGAGCAGUUCACGAUGUUGAAAAUGUACAGGAUUCUGAGUUGCUGGUAUUUUUUUACUUCCUUUAAAGGGGCAGUAUUUUGUGUUUUUCAGACACAUAGUGCCACUUUAUAGCAUAACGAAGUAACUGAACUUCAGUUGUAAUAAAAUGCUGUUGAGUCAAAUGUGACUUAAAAGAAAUUUUGCUUCCCAAUUUAACGCCUUGAAAUUGUGCCACUGUCUCUUUAAAACUUCUGCUCUUUCUGAAACUCCAGUACACUUCAUUAAGUCGUCGCGACGUCGUUCCUCCAUUAACCCUUUAACAGCGUUUUUACCAGCGUUGCUCUGAGAAGUAGCUCGUAUAAUGAGCUCAGCAUUUCAGAUGCGCAGUUCGUAUGUUUAUGAUAAGGAAAUCACAUUACAGCAUGAGGUAAAGCUCAAACAAAGUCAGUUUUACAUAAUACUGCCCCUUUAGAAGCAUGAGAGGGUCUGGUUUAGUUUUAGGGUCCAGUUUAAAGCCAGUGUGUUUUAGCUAAUUCUGGAGAUACCAUUUACACUGCAUAGCAAGUUUGAGGAAACGAACCAAAUUUGGUCAUCUGUGGUAUUUAGAUUCAUGUAACUAAUAUUUUUUUUACCUUUUGUUGCAUUAAGCCGCUUUAGCUAACAUGUUAGCAAACAUUUGUCUGUUUUAAAAUUAAGCACACAAAACCCAAUGCUAUUAUUCAUUAGUGUCAUGAUAGUGACUACUGAGUUGUUUGUUUAAUUCAGUAUUGGCGCUAUUGAUGCCAAUUAAUCUGGUUUCUGUCACACACAAAAAAAAGCAACCAGCUAAUCUGCUAGUUGCUAACUUUUCCUAACUUGACCUGAGAGGUGAUAUCUGUCCAAAGAUAAUACGAUUUAGAAGUAGAAGAAAUGCAGUAAUGUAGGGCAAGAUUUUAGGGUCCCUCUGGUACUGAAAGCCCAAAAAUAAACCAUAAGUGUGGAAAUUAGUUGAAUAAUAAGCUAACAGUUAGCUAAAAAGAGCUGAAACGCGCAAGAAUUGAGGUAAUCUUCUUACAAUGAGUCACACAAGCAUGCAGAUAUGUUUUAAAAAAUUAUUUGUAAUGUUGAAAUUGAAAGGCUUCUUUUUUUUUGUUCAAAUCUAAGUCAUUUGAGACCAGGCAUUUGUCUGUGCCAAGUCCAGUCCAAUACUGUUUAAAUAGAAUUAAAUUAGCGCCAUGGAUUUUGUUGGUGAACUAUAGAACUUUAAAUUGCAGUGACAGUACACACACCAUUUUGUCAUUAUUAUGUGGUCCACAUUAUCAGUGGGAUUGUGUCCUGACUCACUCACCACUGACAUUCUGAAUUUUAAAAAUUGUCCAAAAUAUGCAUAACUUGGUGGAUAAUUAUUAUUACCUAAUAAUUGGUUUUAAAUCAAAACUUGCAAAUUAAUGAUACCAGUUGAAUAAACUAGUUGUUUAUAUAGGUGAAAGUAUAAUAAUUAAGGACUCAAUUAUCCUCUCAGUCAUAUUUUUUAAAAUGAGAGUACUGUUAUUGUGGUCUACUCUAUAACCAAUUUGUUAUUUGUAUUAUAAUGCAAUAAUUUGUAUUAUAAUGCAAUAAUUUAAUGAAACAAAUGCAAGUCUUUGUUUAAAUAUAAUAAACACCAGAUCAAGGUGGUGCUGUAAAGAGUUCUGUAGUCCAACUCUGUUUACAUCUUUUACAACGUCCCACAUUUCAUUCAUAAAUAAAUGAAAUGUCUGUCCAGCCUCUGCCUUUGGAUGAGUAGAAAAAUAAUAUUUCAGAUGCCUGAAUGAUGGACUGAGGGUAUCUGUUAGAAACCGACUGUCAAAUCUACAUUUUAACAGAUCGCUCUCAUAAUUCAGCAGCGCCACGUUUCCUGAAAUCUGGCAGAAUGAAUAAGUGAUCUGAGAGAAUUUCGAGCAGCCUCCCGGCUUAACGGCGGCCCCAUUUGAUAUUUUAGCCCACAAUUAGUCAUGCAUCCACAAAAUCUACAGCUUCUCCAUCAUAUGUGUGCUUUCUGAGGGACUCAUCUUUGGAGCAGUAACCUCCAUAAAUCAUGCUCUUGGUUCUUUGCAUCCACAGCCCCUGUUGAGUCCCACCUUUUUUUAAGGCUCAGACUGAUGUCGAAGUCUUCAAUUCGCUCCGACAUCGCUCUGAUCUGACUGACAGGCUGGACUCUGCAGCGGCCACUCUCAGGCAAAGUGAUAUAUGUAUUGUAAGAGACGGAUAACGAGCACGUGUGUCUUGUGUUACGAGACUAUGAGAUCAGAUCAGGUUUGACGAGAACAGUAUCUCGUCCUGUUAUAUCCAGUUUGUCAUAAAACAAAAAUAUUGUAGGGUAAAAAACAGAAAACCCUUUUAGCAUGUCUGGACACCCUGAAUGCCUCGAAAUAAUAUGAAUAAAGAAGAAUUUCACAUGUUUUUAUUUCUAUAAUGUCAAACUUUAAGAGCUUGUGUGAAGCUGCUUGUUUUAUAUCCUUACUUAUACCGUACUGUAUCACUGUAAUUCUUAUGGUAAUUAAGUAUUUUUGAUGAACUGUGUAAAUAAAAAUCAUUAAAAUGGCUCAAACACUA
Xiphophorus hellerii (green swordtail) is the source of this 6488-nucleotide RNA transcript. It is a transcript of the gene named ras-related protein Rab-38, with no coding region annotated. Lineage: Eukaryota; Metazoa; Chordata; Actinopteri; Cyprinodontiformes; Poeciliidae. The record is from RefSeq and is a predicted model, not a curated record. The transcript has 5 exons.